RNAcentral lists this ribosomal RNA (242 nucleotides) under uncultured bacterium. Its description in RNAcentral is "partial 16S ribosomal RNA". It matches the Rfam family "Bacterial small subunit ribosomal RNA", at positions 89 to 334 of the family's 1533-position model. The record is from RNAcentral.
UGACGAGUGGCGGACGGGUGAGUAAUGUCUGGGGAUCUGCCUGAUGGAGGGGAUAACUACUGGAAACGGUAGCUAAUACCGCAUAACGUCGCAAGACCAAAGUGGGGGACCUUCGGGCCUCAUGCCAUCAGAUGUGCCCCAGAUGGGAUUAGCUAGUAGGUGGGGUAAUGGCUCACCUAGGCGACGAUCCCUAGCUGGUCUGAGAGGAUGACCAGCCACACUGGAACUGAGACACGGCCCAG